GGUCCUAUGGCUUAAUGGAUAAAGCGCCGGUCUACGGAGACAUACGACGUUGAAAACCGGAGAUUCCAGGUUCGAUCCCUGGUAGGAUCG
Molecule: transfer RNA, 90 nt
Filed under: Chlamydomonas reinhardtii
Lineage: Eukaryota; Viridiplantae; Chlorophyta; Chlorophyceae; Chlamydomonadales; Chlamydomonadaceae
Rfam family: tRNA
About the family: Transfer RNA (tRNA) molecules are approximately 80 nucleotides in length.
Source: Rfam by way of RNAcentral